CCUACGGGAGGCAGCAGUGGGGAAUCUUGCGCAAUGGGCGAAAGCCUGACGCAGCCAUGCCGCGUGAAUGAUGAAGGUCUUAGGAUUGUAAAAUUCUUUCACCGGGGACGAUAAUGACGGUACCCGGAGAAGAAGCCCCGGCUAACUUCGUGCCAGCAGCCGCGGUAAUACGAAGGGGGCUAGCGUUGCUCGGAAUUACUGGGCGUAAAGGGAGCGUAGGCGGAUAGUUUAGUCAGAGGUGAAAGCCCAGGGCUCAACCUUGGAAUUGCCUUUGAUACUGGCUAUCUUGAGUGUGGGAGAGGUUAGCGGAACUCCGAGUGUAGAGGUGAAAUUCGUAGAUAUUCGGAAGAACACCAGUGGCGAAGGCGGCUAACUGGCCCAUUACUGACGCUGAGGCUCGAAAGCGUGGGGAGCAAACAGGAUUAGAUACCCUGGUAGUCCACGCCGUAAACGAUGAGUGCUAGUUGUCGGCAUGCAUGCAUGUCGGUGACGCAGCUAACGACAUUAAGUACACUCCGCCGUCGGGGAGGUACGGUCGCGAAGAAUUAAAACUAACGAAAGGAAGUUAGACGGCGUGAGACGUACGACCGAACGGACGACCGACGAGGGGAGGUUAGG
RNAcentral lists this ribosomal RNA (618 nucleotides) under uncultured bacterium. Its description in RNAcentral is "bacterial SSU rRNA". The stretch from base 1 to 520 matches the Rfam family "Bacterial small subunit ribosomal RNA", at positions 338 to 873 of the family's 1533-position model. The record is from RNAcentral.